This is a long non-coding RNA of Bombus terrestris (buff-tailed bumblebee), 1358 nucleotides long. RefSeq lists it as uncharacterized. Lineage: Eukaryota; Metazoa; Arthropoda; Insecta; Hymenoptera; Apidae. The record is from RefSeq and is a predicted model, not a curated record. The transcript is spliced from 2 exons.
UUAUUCUACAUAAGUGUUUUAUAAGAGUUGGUCGAGGAGAGAUCUGUCCCUCCCGUUACGCGAUACGAAACGAAAACGACUAUGACUGGGAAGAAGUUGCACGCUCUCUGUCCGACUUUUUGAUCGGUAGGAAAAAUCAUUUCUCCGUUAAAGGACAGCAUUGUGCGGUCAGAGUACAUACUACUGGCUCUGUGUUUGGGGCUACCCAGCGUUACCUCGUAACAUUCUCAUGCCAUCAACUUCCCUCUCCCGAAAUCCCAGACGGGAAAGUGAGUUUCGGAACAUGAUUGUUAAUUUUACGUAACGUACGACUCGGUUGCUCACUAGGAACAAGUUUCCCCUCCUGCUUUUACCCAGAUCUCUGUUCGAUAUCCAACUUGAAUUUUCUCGACUGUAAUUUCUCGAUGAAUAAAAAGGCGAGGUUAUGUGCUGCUUUUGAAUUUCCCGCUGCAAUUCUCACGCUCUCCGUGAGCAUAAUCUUCGUUCUUUCUCUCUUUCUCUCUCUCUUUGUUGUUGAAACAAGUUGCGGUACAGACUGCGACGGUGUUUUCGAAAAACAAACCAACGUUAUCUCGGCGCAACGAUGUUAACUUUUCAACGAAGGGACCAAACAGACCAGGAGCCAGUGAAGAAAUAAAGAGGGAGUGACAACGAAAGAGAAGAUGGAGGGAUAGGGUUAGUCUGUAUCAACUGUGCACCCUUAUCAAUUGGAAAAUUGGUGUGUGCAGUGGGAGCGGAAGAGGAGGGGAUUCGACAACGUUCAACUCGAUUUGGUGGGGGAAGAACGAUUAGGUUUACGCGCCUGCUAGGGGCGUACAUAUCAAAGGGUCGACAUAGGGGCUACUGUACACAGAGAAUAUUAGUUCAGAUACAAUUUUCGUUCUGGAAUUUCGUAGCGGCCAAACCUGGUGGCAAAAGGGAAGGAGUGUUCGGUACAAAAAGCAGGGGCGUAUCCAAGGAAUAGGAUGAGAGGAUCUUUGUGUGCAUGUUGUGAGAGAAACCGAAAGAACCAGCAAGUGAAUCAGCGAGAAAGAGUACGGAGAGGGACGAACGCCAGUAAGGAACGGAAGAAGAGCGACUCAGACGUCUAGGGCGCAUGCGUCACUCAUCGUGGGCGUCGGGAAUGUGUUGACACGAGAACUCGAGAGAACGCCGUAGCCCUAAUGCCACGACGCGACGGCCCGUGUUAUCGUCGAUACGGUUCCCAUACUGCGGGUCCGCCCCGUCCUCGCGAAAUCUGGGUCUUUCAUCCUGACGAAAUCGGGUCUCUGUCGGUGUCAACUCUCUACGGGGAUUGAUGAUUCAAAAAUUACUGUGCAAAUGAUAAACAGAACAAAUAGAAAUGAGCUAGACAUGAA